This 400-nucleotide ribosomal RNA is filed under the name uncultured bacterium. RNAcentral describes it as "bacterial SSU rRNA". It matches the Rfam family "Bacterial small subunit ribosomal RNA", at positions 355 to 746 of the family's 1533-position model. The record is from RNAcentral.
UGGGGAAUUUUGCACAAUGGGCGCAAGCCUGAUGCAGCAAUGCCGCGUGGGUGAAGAAGGCUUUCGGGUUGUAAAUCCCUGUCGGCUGGGAAAAACGGCAGUGUAUCUAACAAAUACGCUGAUUGAUGGUACCAGCAAAGGAAGAGGCGGCUAACUCUGUGCCAGCAGCCGCGGUAAUACAGAGGCCUCAAGCGUUGUUCGGAAUUACUGGGCGUAAAGCGGGUGUAGGUUGCGCCAUAAGUCAGAUGUGAAAGCCCUGGGCUUAACCCGGGAAGUGCGUCUGAUACUGUGGUGCUCGAGUUCAAGAGAGGUAAGAGGAAUUCCUAGUGUAGGGGUGAAAUCCGUAGAUAUUAGGAGGAAUACCAAUGGCGAAGGCAUCUUACUGGCUUGACACUGACAC